Long non-coding RNA from Dunckerocampus dactyliophorus (ringed pipefish), 592 nucleotides. RefSeq lists it as uncharacterized. Lineage: Eukaryota; Metazoa; Chordata; Actinopteri; Syngnathiformes; Syngnathidae. The transcript is spliced from 2 exons. The record is from RefSeq and is a predicted model, not a curated record.
GUCUUAGUGAGUGAGUUGCUGCUUUACCCUCCUGCCAUUUAUUCUGCAACACUCUCCUACUGUCACUGAAUGCAGGCCACAGGCCACAGGACAUUAAGCCAAGUAACUCUGUUUUAAGAGUGCUCUAUCUACUCUGAGGGCCGACGUGAUGGCUGACGCAAAUGAAGCUGGAGGAGGCCAUGAAGUGGAGGCUCCAGAGUCCGAAAUAGACGAAGAAGAAGCAGCCUUGUUGCAUUUCAGUAAAUACAAUGAAGCCCGCCGUGCCCGCCCAUGGGAACAGUGGAGCUCCAGAGAGAAGGCGAACUACUACAUUGACCGCUUUUUCUUUGGCUUCCUGAUUGUUUUUGUCUUUGUGCUGCUGGGCGAGUGUGCAUAUAAAAUGUGGUACGUGACCAACGUGAGGAAGUUUGCGGCGUUUGUGUCCGACCUCGUUGUCUUUCUGUUUGACUCGCUCCUUGCUCAGGAGAGACAAGAGGGGCUGGCUGAACUCUAGUUGUACAAUACAAGCAAAGUGAAUCCAAUGGUUUUCUCCCAUGUUUAAGGCAUAGUAAAGAAGUUUAAUAACUUAACAAUAAAGACAAUGUAAAUAUGA